GGCAGGUACUGCAUGACAGUCAUGACAUAUGGAUUCCCUCAGUAGCAUGCGAGCGAACAGGGAAGAGCCCAGCACCGAAUCCCGCGGCCGAUACCGGGCGCCGGGAAAUGUGGUGUUAGGGAGGAUCCGUUUAUCCCGAGGUCGUACGGCGCGUCCAAGUCCUUCUUGAACGGGGCCACAGCCCAUAGAGGGUGCCAGGCCCGUAGCGACCGCUGUCGAUCGCGGGAGGAUCUCUCCUCAGAGUCGGGUUGCUUGAGAGUGCAGCCCUAAGUGGGUGGUAAACUCCAUCUAAGGCUAAAUAUGACCACGAGACCGAUAGCGAACAAGUACCGUGAGGGAAAGUUGAAAAGCACUUUGAAGAGAGAGUUCAAGAGUACGUGAAACCGUUCAGGGGUAAACCUGAGAAACCCGAAAGGUCGAAAGGGGAAAUUCAUUCGCGUUUCGGCCGUCGGCGUCGGAUGGUCGAGUGACGGAUGGCGUACGCGUCGUCCGCGCCUUCCUUCCUUCGAACCGGCGUCGAACGCGUGCACUUUUCCCCUAGUAGGACGUCGCGAUCCGUUGGGUGUCGGUCUAAGGCCUGCGGUGGAGCCCGUGCGGACGUUUCGGCGUUCGCUCGGACCCGCGGUGUCCCGGCCGACUCGCUCGACGGUAUACAGAUGGCGCGGGGCCGCUACACAGUUAGCGUUCGGCCUGCGGCAAGCGCGUUCGGCGUUUGACGGCGAUCGGACCUGGUGCCGGUCCUGUCCCCGAACGACUGUUGGCCGUGGUGUUCUCGAACAGACCUCGAAUUUGAAACGCCGAUCUGCGACGCUAUAGCUUUGGGUACUUUCAGGACCCGUCUUGAACACCCG
This 851-nucleotide ribosomal RNA is filed under the name Gaurotes virginea thalassina. RNAcentral's name for it is "eukaryotic LSU rRNA". It matches the Rfam family "Eukaryotic large subunit ribosomal RNA", at positions 42 to 663 of the family's 3401-position model. Lineage: Eukaryota; Metazoa; Arthropoda; Insecta; Coleoptera; Cerambycidae. The record is from RNAcentral.